CCCCGUGUCCCCCGCUGUCCUCCCUGCUGCCCCCCGUUGUACCACUGGCCAUCCUCCCGCUACCCCCAUUGCUGUUCCCCAGUUGGAUGUCAGCUGACCCAACAGGGAGGGAAGCUGGAGGAAGCAGCAGCUUAGGGCUGAGAGCACACACCAGGGCCCCCCCCCGCCCCCGCACUGCAGGAUGGGUGGGUGUCGUGUCCAGGGGACCCCUGGAACCAAGCGGGACCGUCAGGAAUCGGAAGAGCAAACUACACAGGGAGUGCAGGGGCAGGAAACACCGACUACAGCAGGAGUAGACCGCACAGGAGGCGGUGGAGAAACCCUGCAAAACCAGAAGCCAGUUGGUUGGAAAGGCGGACAAAUGACCAGACUUUGAGUGGAUUGACCAGAUGCAGCACUGGCCCAGGAGGAGCUGUCAGCUCCCAGUCCCUUCUAUUUGAAUGAAGGGCUGAGUGAAAGGUGGAGACAGGAAUGCGCCCGCGUGGGAAGGAGAGACACUGUCACAGAAGAGUUUUCAGCCACUCGGAGACUGGGGCUCUGGGAGGGAACCACUAGUACACACUGUGUGAAUUGUGGAAGGGGACAGACAGCCGGGAGAUGGGAAAUGGCCCUGGUGGCCCCUGGGAGAAGGCAGGUGCUGCUGGUGAAAGCGGCUGGUAUGUGCAUGCCAGUCUGGGCAGGGGCUAGCACACCUGCCUUUCGACUGUCAAUCAUAGACCCACAAGCUGACGGGAAGGGAGCGUCGUCAGCAUCAGGACCCACGCUCAGGGCCUGUGGAAGUCCAGACUGCAUCAGGCAGCUCCUUUCUGGGAGCGACCAGGUAACUGCGGCAGCAAAUAGGCCCCGACGCUUCCUGCUCUUUGUCCUUGUUGUUCAUGCUUCCCAGCAGAGGGAGAUGCUGUAAAGUCUGGGGUUAGUUCCGCAGGAGCAUCUAUGGAUUAUG
Long non-coding RNA from Nyctereutes procyonoides (raccoon dog), 943 nucleotides. RefSeq lists it as uncharacterized. The record is from RefSeq and is a predicted model, not a curated record. NCBI's taxonomy places the organism in Eukaryota, Metazoa, Chordata, Mammalia, Carnivora, Canidae. The transcript is spliced from 3 exons.